Molecule: ribosomal RNA, 596 nt
Filed under: uncultured marine eukaryote
Lineage: Eukaryota
Description: SSU rRNA
Rfam family: Eukaryotic small subunit ribosomal RNA
Source: RNAcentral
AACCUGGUUGAUCCUGCCAGUAGUCAUAUGCUUGUCUCAAAGACUAAGCCAUGCAUGUCUAAGUAUAAGUAUUAUACAGCGAAACUGCGAAUGGCUCAUUAAAACAGUUAUAGUUUAUUUGAUAAUCGAAACCUACAUGGAUACCCGUGGUAAUUCUAGAGCUAAUACAUGCUGGUGUGCCCGACUUUUGCGGAACGGGCAGUAUUUAUUAGAUAACAAGCCAAUAUUCCUCUGGUCUAUUGUGGUGACUCAUAAUAACUGAUCGAAUCGCAUGGCCUAUGGCCGCGAUAAGUCAUUCAAGUUUCUGCCCCAUCAGCUUUCGAUGGUAGUGUAUUGGACUACCAUGGCGUUUACGGGUAACGGAGGAUUAGGGUUCGAUUCCGGAGAGGGAGCCUGAGAAACGGCUACCACAUCUAAGGAAGGCAGCAGGCGCGUAAAUUACCCAAUCCUGACUCAGGGAGGUAGUGACAAGAAAUAACGGACCGGGGUCUUCCGAGGCUUCGGGAUUGCAAUGAGCCGAAUUUACACCCCUUAGCGAGAAUCGAUUGGAGGGCAAGUCUGGUGCCAGCAGCCGCGGUAAUUCCAGCUCCAAUAGC